Molecule: transfer RNA, 74 nt
Filed under: Megasphaera sp. UPII 135-E
Lineage: Bacteria; Bacillati; Bacillota; Negativicutes; Veillonellales; Veillonellaceae
Rfam family: tRNA
About the family: Transfer RNA (tRNA) molecules are approximately 80 nucleotides in length. Their secondary structure includes four short double-helical elements and three loops (D, anti-codon, and T loops).
Source: Rfam by way of RNAcentral
GCGCCCAUAGCUCAGCUGGAUAGAGCAGCAGUUUCCUAAACUGCGUGUCGGAUGUUCAAGUCAUCUUGGGCGCA